AUUACAGGUUAUUCUCGCAUCAGAGUUUUUUGAGAUCCCUCUUACAUCUCAGCAUUAUUCAUGAGACUACAAAGUUCUUGUCUGCCAUGUGCAUUCAUUCAUGUUCAAAGCUUGCUAAGGAAUGCUACUUGGUUUCAUGUCCAAGAAAAUACUGCCGUAGGAUCAUUUGCUUUUUGUACUGACAAAGAGGCAAAACGUACCCUGUGACAUCAGGUCAGUUCAGUCGUUGGAGCCCUUGGAGAUUACAGCAUCUUCUUCCAUGCUCUUGGUGCCCUCCCUUUGGAGUUGCUAUGAGUGGGGAACAACCUACUGUUUUGGGAACACAGAGGCUGAGAGGUUCUUAACUGCUCUCUCAAUUAUUAAUUGGCUCUCUUGCCAAUGUAGAACUCUGUUUAAAUUGGUGUGCUUAUAAAAUAUGAGAUUACUUUAGGCCAGGUAAAUAUUUACUAAGCUGACAUAAAUAAAUAAAUAAAAACACUCUGUAUAAUUUA
Anas platyrhynchos (mallard) is the source of this 491-nucleotide long non-coding RNA. RefSeq lists it as uncharacterized. The record is from RefSeq and is a predicted model, not a curated record. Lineage: Eukaryota; Metazoa; Chordata; Aves; Anseriformes; Anatidae.